CAGCAGCCGCGGGAAAACGAACCGUGCUAACGUUAUUCGGAAUUACUGGGCUUAAAGCGCGUGUAGGCGGGCCGGCACGUCGGACGCUGAAAUCCCCCGGCUUAACCGGGGAAGUGGCCCCGAUACGACCGGCCUGGAGGGGUGUAGGGGGCGCUGGAACUCACGGUGGAGCGGUGAAAUGCGUUGAGAUCGUGAGGAACGCCCGCGGCGAAAGCGAGCGCCUGGACCCUUUCUGACGCUGAGACGCGAAAGCCAGGGGAGCGAACGGGAUUAGAUACCCCCGUAGUCCCUGUCUCUUAUA
RNAcentral lists this ribosomal RNA (301 nucleotides) under uncultured bacterium. RNAcentral's name for it is "partial 16S ribosomal RNA". It matches the Rfam family "Bacterial small subunit ribosomal RNA", at positions 509 to 807 of the family's 1533-position model. The record is from RNAcentral.